CCUACGGGGGGCAGCAGUGAGGAAUAUUGGUCAAUGGGCGGGAGCCUGAACCAGCCAAGUCGCGUGAGGGAAGACGGUCCUAUGGAUUGUAAACCUCUUUAGUCGGGGAGCAAUGCCGGGCACGCGUGCCCGGAGGGAGAGUACCCGCAGAAUAAGCAUCGGCUAACUCCGUGCCAGCAGCCGCGGUAAUACGGAGGAUGCGAGCGUUAUCCGGAUUUAUUGGGUUGAAAGGGUGCGUAGGCGGAUUUUUAUGUCAGCGGUAAAAUGUCCGGGCUAAACCCUGGCCGGCCGGUGAAACUGGGGAUUUUGAGUGGGGGAGAAGUAUGGGGAAUUCGGGGUGUAGGGGUGAAAUGCAUAG
Molecule: ribosomal RNA, 358 nt
Filed under: uncultured bacterium
Lineage: Bacteria
Description: partial 16S ribosomal RNA
Rfam family: Bacterial small subunit ribosomal RNA
Source: RNAcentral